This 336-nucleotide ribosomal RNA is filed under the name Triticum aestivum (bread wheat). RNAcentral describes it as "partial small subunit ribosomal RNA". The record is from RNAcentral. Lineage: Eukaryota; Viridiplantae; Streptophyta; Magnoliopsida; Poales; Poaceae.
AUGCGGUGGCGAGGACGACAGGCAGCCCCCCCGGUGAGGUUUGACCAAAGGAUGGCUGUGUUUGCUGAAACAAAGUUGCAAAGAGAUGGCAUCGAGUUGAGUACAGGAUUCAGAGUGAUAAAGGAUCGGAGGACGAACCUGUCAUACUCGCAGCACGCGUCGCUGGUGUACAUGCCGGUGCCGACCAAGAAGAUUUCGUAUGCUCCAGGAGGAGCAGGUGGUGUACGAGGCAGCCAGUUGCAAUGGAGGAGGAUGAGAUCCACGGGGAGGGCUUCCUGGAGAUAUCACAACAUCUCCAAAUGUUACAACAAGGAGAAGAAAAGGCAAGAUGUUUAA